RNAcentral lists this non-coding RNA (30 nucleotides) under Rattus norvegicus (Norway rat). Lineage: Eukaryota; Metazoa; Chordata; Mammalia; Rodentia; Muridae. The record is from RNAcentral.
GGAACAUACUGAGUAUCUAGCUGGAAAGGA